UCCACCCCGGGCCCUUGGGGCUCCCUGGUUCCCGCCGGCCGCCCUAUUCAUUCUGCGCAUCUCGGGAGCCAAGCUCGGCUUCCCUCCAGGGAUCACCCUUGGACCUUGCUAUUGUCCCUGUCGCCUGACUUCUGCUAUGCUAAGUUCCAGCAAGGUGAUCUGGAAAAAAAACGAUACUGGCUCCCAGGCCGCGAUUCGCCUUUUCUGCGGGGACCUCGGGACGCAGGCAUCGGCGCAUUGUGCUGGACGCGCUGACCCGGUCGCCUGCGCCCCGCCGGGACAAUUGUUCCCUCAUUAGGGCGGCCUGGAGCUGCGGAAAGGCUGGCGGCCCUUUCCCACAAUCACUGACAAUGUGCGGCAGCAGACGUGUCGCAGAGGCGGUACCUAGGGUGGUACAUUCUUCUGGUUCUGAUCUUGUCUGGGCUGCCAAAUGGGGCUUUCAUUCAUCCGCCUUUAUUAGAAACAAGAGCUGAGGUGGUCAGCGAAUCAAACGCAGGGACACAGAGGGAAGGAGUCCCUGAAGUGUGCUUUGAUUACAGAAGGGAAAGAGCCAAUAAAAGCAAUGACAACUUCAUUAAAAAGGCAUCUGAGAAGAACAAAACUUCACAUAGUAUCAUCUUAUACUUUAAGUGGUAUUUCCCUGCAUUCUCUAAGAAACUCCA
Molecule: long non-coding RNA, 662 nt
Organism: Peromyscus californicus insignis
Lineage: Eukaryota; Metazoa; Chordata; Mammalia; Rodentia; Cricetidae
Exons: 3
Source: RefSeq, a predicted model, not a curated record